Non-coding RNA from Schistosoma mansoni, 45 nucleotides. The record is from Rfam. NCBI's taxonomy places the organism in Eukaryota, Metazoa, Platyhelminthes, Trematoda, Strigeidida, Schistosomatidae.
AUCCAGCUGGCGAGUACCAAAUAGGACGAAACGCGCAUCCUGGAU